UAUUAUAAUUGGCAAACCUGCCGAGAGACAGGGACGCAAAGCUAAGAGUCUUGCUUGUUAAAUUAUAGCAUGAUUGUCUGGUUGCAUCA
Molecule: non-coding RNA, 89 nt
Filed under: Clostridiales bacterium
Lineage: Bacteria; Bacillati; Bacillota; Clostridia; Eubacteriales
Description: c-di-GMP sequence
Rfam family: c-di-GMP-I riboswitch aptamer
About the family: GEMM was predicted in a large-scale screen for bacterial structured RNA regulatory elements.
Source: RNAcentral